RNAcentral lists this transfer RNA (80 nucleotides) under Bostrychia moritziana. Its description in RNAcentral is "tRNA-Ile". It matches the Rfam family "tRNA". From Rfam's summary of the family: Transfer RNA (tRNA) molecules are approximately 80 nucleotides in length. Their secondary structure includes four short double-helical elements and three loops (D, anti-codon, and T loops). The record is from RNAcentral. Lineage: Eukaryota; Rhodophyta; Florideophyceae; Ceramiales; Rhodomelaceae.
GGGCUAUUAGCUCAGGUGGUUAGAGCGCACCCCUGAUAAGGAUAAGGGUGAGGUCCCUGGUUCAAGUCCAGGAUAGCCCA